This 279-nucleotide ribosomal RNA is filed under the name uncultured bacterium. Its description in RNAcentral is "partial 16S ribosomal RNA". It matches the Rfam family "Bacterial small subunit ribosomal RNA", at positions 506 to 784 of the family's 1533-position model. The record is from RNAcentral.
UGCCAGCCGCCGCGGUAAUACGCAGGGGGUUAGCGUUGUUCGGAAUUACUGGGCGUAAAGCGUACGUAGGCGGAUUAAUAAGUUAGAGGUGAAAUCCCAGGGCUCAACCCUGGAACUGCCUUUGAAACUACAGGUCUAGAGUUCGGUAGAGGUUAGUGGAAUUCCUAGUGUAGGGGUGAAAUCCGUAGAUAUUAGGAAGAAUAUCGAUGGCGAAGGCAGCUAACUGGGCCGAUACUGACGCUGAGAUGCGAAAGCGUGGGGAGCAAACAGGAUUAGAUA